UUCAAGGGCUUUUAAGGUUGUAACGGGGCUUAGGAACAAGGUGGAAAAAACAAACAAAAGGGAAAAACAAGUGGUUUAGACUCAGAGUCUGUGUUGUCACUCUCAUCACUGUGUUUUAUUGUUCAUAAUAAAGAGUUUUUCACACCGUUUUGUUAGGAUUCUUUAGUUUUUACUCAAGUGUUUCUUUGAGCUUGCUUUUCGUCAAACUAAAUCCUCAUCUAGGUAAGUUCUUUACUCUACUUCACUUUUUUUCUCUUUUUUUUCUUGAAGCUUUUCAACUUUUU
Molecule: long non-coding RNA, 284 nt
Filed under: Lathyrus oleraceus (garden pea)
Lineage: Eukaryota; Viridiplantae; Streptophyta; Magnoliopsida; Fabales; Fabaceae
Description: Pisum sativum (pea) long non-coding RNA (PSAT_LNC028737)
Source: RNAcentral